UACGUAGGGUGCAAGCGUUUAAUCGGAAUUACUGGGCGUAAAGCGUGCGCAGGCGGUGAUGUAAGACAGAUGUGAAAUCCCCGGGCUCAACCUGGGAACUGCAUUUGUGACUGCAUAGCUAGAGUACGGUAGAGGGGGAUGGAAUUCCGCGUGUAGCAGUGAAAUGCGUAGAUAUGCGGAGGAACACCGAUGGCGAAGGCAAUCCCCUGGACCUGUACUGACGCUCAUGCACGAAAGCGUGGGGAGCAAACGAGG
Molecule: ribosomal RNA, 255 nt
Filed under: uncultured bacterium
Lineage: Bacteria
Description: partial 16S ribosomal RNA
Rfam family: Bacterial small subunit ribosomal RNA
Source: RNAcentral